RNAcentral lists this non-coding RNA (541 nucleotides) under Pongo abelii (Sumatran orangutan). The record is from RNAcentral. Lineage: Eukaryota; Metazoa; Chordata; Mammalia; Primates; Hominidae.
CUGCCCAUUUUUCUUUGACAUGUUCAGAUGUUGGCAAGGCUGAAAACUGCAGGGGAUCUGGUUGUGAUAAUCCAGGCACAUGCCCCAAGGAAAUGAGGCUACAUGAUGACACAGCAAGAAGGUGGCUGUCUGCAAGCCAGAAAGAGAGCCCUCCCCAGAGACUGAACCAGCUAGAACCACGAUCUUGGACUUCCAGCCUCCAGAACUGUUAUUCUAGGUCAACUUCCAUGCCUGGAUGUAACCAAAUCAGCAGCCAGACCGUGACCAGGACACAUCAUACCACCUGCCCCCGGCAGAGAUCCUGUGCCCAUGUGUGAUAAGAUGCAAUGAUCUCAUUCAAACUCUGUCUUGUCCUGCUAGCCCUGCUAAACCACUUGAGCCCCUGGAGUCUCUUCCUCCCUUGAGCUUCUACAGCAUUCCUAUCUGGACCAUUCGCCAAGUGGUUAACACCGGAAGCUUUUAUAAAAACUAUGUUGUUUGCUGGGUUGGGUUUCUUACAGUUCCCAGGAGACCACAAGUUACUCAGAGACAGGACCAAGUG